RNAcentral lists this long non-coding RNA (1500 nucleotides) under Heterocephalus glaber (naked mole-rat). RNAcentral's name for it is "lncRNA (ENSHGLG00100035849.1)". The record is from RNAcentral. Lineage: Eukaryota; Metazoa; Chordata; Mammalia; Rodentia; Bathyergidae.
CCCACCUUGUAGGCUGAAAGAGGAAAUGCAGAGCAGGGAUGUGCAAGCUCUGCUUGGCACCGUAAGGAGUUGGCUCGCCAGACCGACUUCCUAAGAGGCUGUGCAGCUCAAGUUGUUUCCUAAAGUGUCAGAAAUAUUUCAGGGCAUCAGCUCAACUGGAAGGGUGGAUCAGGGAAGUGGGUCAGCCCAAGUUCCAGUGAUCAACAUCACUGCUCUAAAUGUCCUGCCAGAGGUCUGACCAGACAGGGAUAUGGAUUGGAUGAACCACAAGGCUGGGCCAAUGUGGACGUCUUCAUCUAGCCUUGGCUGCCAUCUUGUUUGAAGUGGAAGAGAACUCAAUCACUGGAGAAGAGUUUCUUGGUUUAUGCAUCUCUUUUAUAGAGUACGAGAGAGAGAGAGAAAGAGAGAGAGAGGAUGUGUCAAGUCUUGGUGUAGGCAAAUUAUGUGGAAGGACAAAAGAGGGCAGCAUUGGAAAAUGGCACCAAAUGGGCAAGAAACUGAAGCAACCCCUUCUCAGCAAUAUGAAUUUGUCUCACUGAUGACACCCCUUUGCUUUUUUGGCAGUGCUAGGCUUUGAACCUAGGGCCUUGUGCAUGCUAAGCAUGUACUCUGCCACUUAGCCCCAUCCUCAGCCCUACUGGGCCCUCUUGAUGUGGAGUGGUCCCACCCUGGGAGUAUCUCUGCUCAACCUUUAAUGUGGGCCUGGUUGACACAUGCAUACUUUCAGCGCUGCAGACACCUGGCUACCACCUCUGUUUGCUGUGAAGCACCUGAUCAUUCCUCCAGGGAGAAAGCACCAAAGGCCUGCAGGAAGCCAGCAGGUGUACACCCGGCUCAAGGUGAGAGAACGCAACUGGGCUGCGGCUUCUCAGAUUGAUAGAUUGCGUUUCUGUGUGGGUCCGUUUCAUGCUUGGUGACUCCGCAGCAAAGCAAUUAUCACUGUGGAAUGCAUAAUGGCCUAAUUAAUAACUAAUGUCAGGUUGGCCUCUGAGCCAUGAUUAUACCUUAGCAAGCCAACUUUUUUUCCCUUUUAAACAUUCAGAGAGAAAAAUAUUAUUAUAAUUGACUGGUUAAACUGUCAAAGUGUCCCUGCCCAUGGACAUGGGGUGUGGAAGGGCACAAGGCCUGGAACGAGGACUGGGAAUCUGCCCCCAGCUGGCUGUGACCCGGCUCAGCAUCUGAGCACAUCGCACCUGCCCAUCUGCACCUGCGCACAGAGCACCUCUCUGGCCCUGAGCCAUAUGUUGUGUGACUGCUUGGGUUCAAAUCUCUGCAUUCAGGAAAGCAGCUGUGUGAUCCUGGACAAGUUACCUGACCUCUCUGAGCCUCUUCUCAUUUGUAAAUAAUGACCACAGCAAUAUCUACUUCAUCAGCUGGUCAUGGGGGAAAAUGAAUUGGUAUCUGCAAAGCACUCAGAAUGCUGCCUGGAACACAAACAGCUAGUGAUGUCUGCCAAUAUUAUUAUGUGUCAACAGUCACUUAAUAAAUAUUUAUUCUGCA